UAAAAUCUUCAGGGCAGGGUGAAAUUCCCUACCGGUGGUUAUAGCCCACGAGCCAUUAUGGCAUGAUUCGGUGAGAUUCCGAAGCCGACAGUAAAGUCUGGAUGAAAGAAGAUAGAA
Regulatory RNA element from Terrisporobacter sp., 117 nucleotides. It matches the Rfam family "FMN riboswitch aptamer (RFN element)". Rfam says of the family: The RFN element is a highly conserved domain that is found frequently in the 5'-untranslated regions of prokaryotic mRNAs that encode for flavin mononucleotide (FMN) biosynthesis and transport proteins. This element is a metabolite-dependent riboswitch that directly binds FMN in the absence of proteins. In Bacillus subtilis, the riboswitch most likely controls gene expression by causing premature transcription termination within the 5' untranslated region of the ribDEAHT operon and precluding access to the ribosome-binding site of ypaA mRNA. The record is from Rfam. Lineage: Bacteria; Bacillati; Bacillota; Clostridia; Peptostreptococcales; Peptostreptococcaceae.